RNAcentral lists this ribosomal RNA (301 nucleotides) under uncultured bacterium. RNAcentral describes it as "partial 16S ribosomal RNA". It matches the Rfam family "Archaeal small subunit ribosomal RNA", at positions 459 to 760 of the family's 1478-position model. The record is from RNAcentral.
CAGUAGCCGCGGUAAUACCAGCGCCUCGAGUGGUCAGGAGGUUUAUUGGGCCUAAAGCAUCCGUAGCCGGUUGCAUAAGUUUUCGGUUAAAUCUAUGCGCUUAACGUAUAGGCCGCCGAAAAUACUGUGCAGCUAGGGAGUGGGAGAGGUACACGGUACUCGAUAGGAAGGGGUAAAAUCCUUUGAUCUAUUGAUGACCACCUGUGGCGAAGGCGGUGUACCAGAACACGUUCGACGGUGAGGGAUGAAAGCUGGGGGAGCAAACCGGAUUAGAUACCCGCGUAGUCCCUGUCUCUUAUAC